UUAUUUCCGUGCUACAUUCAUCGGGGAUUUUAGUAUGAUUAUGGAUCUGGAAGCGAAAAGAAAAGGAAAAACCAUCUCCCUCAUACAACGAUCAGCCAAAGAUAACUCGCAUCACUGAUGAUAAGGGAGGACCAAAGUCAAUGAAGGAGGGGCCCCUGAAGUUACCCAUGAGCCCUUGCUCCCCAUCACGUUUUUCCCUUGUGGAGAGCCAGCCUUUGUACAGGCUGCUAGAAAGAGAAAGCACUACAUUCCUGAUGGAUUCAAGUGUAGACAGAUACAGUCAGCUUUAUGGAAAGGAUGACUCAACCUUGUGACAUUUGGCUGGUUCAUUGAUCGUUGCUCUCAGCUCUCACCAGUGCUGGAAUCAAACAUGUCAGACACCAGUACGUCAGACUACCAGCAACACAUCCAGGAGAAGGGGCUCACCCUUCGUCAGUCUACUCCUCAGGGGCAGGCCUGCUCUCCCUCCAGCAGAGAGCACAGGUCCAGCCACAGCCACACUGCUCCCCUAGACCUCCCUGGGAUAUCUCCACCUCAGAGCAACCACAGUUUAUACCUUUCUCUCAGCCAGGAGGGAGGAGAGAGUGUCCAGUACCAAGUGGACCCAAACAGCAGCUGAACAUGACCCCCUCAGUAUCCAAAGUAUGGUUUGGAGGCACAGAGCCUGAGUGAGUACUGAACUGAAAUAUCAAAGAUGUGUUUUUACCUGAUAUGCAGCAAAUCAUUUUCUUUAUCCGUCAUACAUUAUUGAGAUUGACAACCCCCCCCCCCCCCCCGAACUGAUAUUCUUUUUUUCCUGAUUUCCAUUGCUGUAUCGAUUACAUCUGUGAAGAUAGACGUAUUAGUUGAUAUUUCCAUAACUUGUGUGUGCACUGACUAAUGGGGUAUGCAUCGGCCUACCCAGUAGCACAGAGACCAGAGACCAUGCCAUGCACAUAGUGGGGUUCUCUAUCAACCAAUCUGAGGGCAAAGACCACACCUUGGAGUUCUCUCUCAAAAAUCAGUCAAUGGAGUUCUCCGUCAACCAAAUAGAGAGUGAAGAGCAACACAACGAAGCACUCUUCAGGGCCUGCAGUAAUGAGGAUUAUGGAAGUGAAGGUACUUGUGCAUCCCAAAUGGCACCCCAUGCCCUAUAUAGUGCACUACUUUUGAACAGGUCGCAUAGGGCUCUGGUCAGAAGUAUAGCACUUUGUAGGUAAUAAGGUACCAUUUGCUGCACUGUCCAGUGUGCAUUAUGUAGGCUAUUAAUAAUUUCCCUUCACUAAAAACUAUGAUACAUGUUUUUGGAGAAAGUUUGCCAAUCUAUCUUCACUGACAUACAGUAGCAGUCAAAAGUUUGGACACACCUACUCAUUCCAUGGUUUUUCUUUAUUUUUACACUGUAGAAUACUAGUGAAGACAUCAAAACUAUGAAAUAACACAUAUGGAAUCAUGUAGUAACCAAAAAAGUGUUAAACAAAUAUUUGAGAUUCUUCAAAGGAGCCACACUUUGCCUUGAUGACAGCGUUGCACACUCUUGGUAUUCUCUCAACCAGCUUCACCAUAUGUGUUAUUUCAUAGUUUUGAUGUCUACACUAUUAUUCUACAAUGUAUAAAAUAGUACAAAUAAAGAAAAAACCCUUGAAUGAGUAAGUGUGUCCAAGCUUUUGACUGGUACUGUAUGUAUGUCAAUUCGUCCCAGCAGCUAAUUUUAAGAAAGGUAUGCCUAAGAUAUAUCUCAAGGAGGAAGUACCGACAACGUCUACCAGAGAUGUGAAUGAACCGCAGAGCCGAGGCCCUGAACCCAAUUUCUUGACUCAUGUAAUUACAGGCAGCAGCAUUACAUCAGGUGUCUAAUGCCACCUAGUGGCAGAAUUGGAAUCAUUUCAGAGCUGAACAGUGAUGAUGAUAUAAGGCAGUACCAUUUAGCAGACGUUUUUAUCCAAAGCGGCUUAGAGUCAUGCGUGCAAACAUUUGACAUACGGGUGAUCCUGGGAAUUGAACCCACUAUCUUAGCAUUGCAAGUACCAUGCUCUACCAACUGAGCCACGGGACCUGAUUAGGGUAUGAUAAUAGGUGAAAGUAAGGGGGAAAUGUGUUAAUAUGGUGAAGGCCAGCCUGUUUCGUUGUUACGUCUGUAUUCCAACAGGUUUCCAACUGCACUGAUGUCAGCUCAUGUACGUUUCCACACUACAUUCGAAAAUCACCCGCUGUUCACCACCUGUCUGACACUGAAAGGCAGAGUCCCAAGUGGCAUCCUAUUCCCUAUAUAGUGCCACAUGAGGAAGGUGUCAUUUGGGUGUCAUUUGGGACGCAGCCCCGGUGGAGACUUACCUGCAGACGAGUCUUCAGCUUGUCCUGCAAACACUCACCAUGGUCCUAAGGAAUGCUGUGAAUCAUCGCCCAGUUACUCUCCCAAGAGGAGGUUGCUUUAGUUCCGACUCGGAUGAUGACGUAAGAAAACAACAGAUAAUACUGUUUACACCUGCUUCGGCUAAUGUACUGUAAGGGACUGCUUUGAUUUCCCAUAGAUCACAUAGGCCUACCAUGACUGACUUGUAAAUUCAUUAUUUGUAACACUUUUACAUUUAGUUGCUCUUAUAAGUCUGCGUAAUUACUGUUUAAUAACACGUUGUUGCAUAGUAACCGCUUUGCAUUUUACAUGGUAAUAUCAACAUAUUUCUUAGUGUGACAAUGACAGCAAUGGAGUUGACAAGACAGCACAAACAGAUCUGGGACUCGGGAUACAUAUGUUCAUACUAAUCUUUAAAUGUCAUAUCAGGAAGUGGAGGAUUAUCACCAGUGUCACCAGGGUGGAUCCUCACAGGCACAUUCAGAGAGGUCCUGUAGUGAAGAGAUCCCUGUCCUUAGCCAAGGCCUCAUCACAUUGGAACACACAACAACGGGGUCACCCUCCGUCUCAACCCAGACCUUACACCCCACCCACUAGGCCUCAAUGCACAGGGAACUGUGGAAACGGCCAGAGCGGUCAUAGAGACCAGAGAGCGUUGGAGAGCUCCGUCUGCACAGAGAGAGACGGUCAGGCUGUGUAGUUACAGAUGACAGUAACAGCCAGGCUAGGGUUAUAGGCGAUCGGUAUGUCCCACCUCGUCCUCUGUCUCUGACAUUUUAAGCAGAAUAGUUGUGGGAUUCAGAGUCCACGAGGUUGUUCUCUUUACACUCAAGUCCAGAAACUGCACUGAGUUGAAACAUCCGAUGUUGGACAUUUCGAGGUGAUGUUGGUGACAGUCUGUGUCCCCAUUCCUCGUGUUUCUUGUGUUGCUUGUGUUCUGGUGGCUGCCAUUUUUGUUGGUGGACCGCAGAGCUCUGUGAUUCAGACAAAUCAAAUCUUUUUUAUUUAUUUUUUAAUCAAAUUUGAAAGAUUAUAACCUCGUGGACUCUGAAUCCUGAAUUCUGCUUAAAAUGUCAUACCGACCCCAACCACCAGAGGGCAGGCCAGUCACAGAUAUGAGUCUAUGAGACAACAGACAGACAGAGCAUUAUCAGACAGAUCCAGGAGGGAGGGAGAAGAGCACACGCCCUGGAGAAAAUCAACAGCCAGAGAGCUCAAGGCUGGACCUGGGCACCACCCAUCAAUCAUCCCUUUAAACAAGUGUCGUAACACUAACACUGAGAAUUGAGUGCAUUCAGAGACCCACUACCUCUGUACUAGACGCUCCCCUCAUCACCAAUGAUUUAAAAGUGUGUUGCAGUUUUCUUACGGACCAAGAUUCAUGAUGGUGGUAUUUUUUUUUGUUAUUUUCAGUGGUAUUUUGAAAAUGGAUGUUGCUCCCUAAUGAUGUUUUUCUCUCUUCCAUCCAGACUUGAGAGGUAAGCAGCUGCAGCAUAAAGGACAGGAAGAAGAAUAAGAGGUACAGGACCCUGUUCAGAAUGUUCCUCUUAGAGGAGACCUUCAAGAUGAGAGAGAGAGGAGAAAAGGAGGUCACUGCUGAGAGCAUAGUUAACAGGCUUUCAGAGGAGGUUGAGACACUUCAGGAAAGAGCAGGCGUUCUGCUCAUGCUGAAGCAGAGGAAAAAAGAUUAGUGAAAAGGGAAGGAGAAGAGAGAGGUGGGGAGGACAGGAGGGGAGGGGAGGUCAAAUCCCGACGUAUCCCUUUAAGAGUUGUGAACAACACUAGCAACUACAGUACAUCCCUUUACCACAGGAUCUGUUUCUGCAUAUUUAAACAUGUAUAACAAUGCCCUUGUGGAUUCUACAUUAAAACGAAAGCCAGACAUUGCAAGAUAA
Long non-coding RNA from Oncorhynchus nerka (sockeye salmon), 4227 nucleotides. RefSeq lists it as uncharacterized. Lineage: Eukaryota; Metazoa; Chordata; Actinopteri; Salmoniformes; Salmonidae. The transcript has 6 exons. The record is from RefSeq and is a predicted model, not a curated record.